UACAGAGGUCCCAAGCGUUGUUCGGAUUCACUGGGCGUAAAGGGUGCGUAGGUGGCUUGGUAAGUUUGAUGUGAAAUCUCCGGGCUUAACCCGGAAAUGGCAUUGAAUACUAUUGAGCUGGAGGUUUGGAGGGGGGACUGGAAUUCCCGGUGUAGUGGUGAAAUGCGUAGAUAUCGGGAGGAACACCAGUGGCGAAGGCGGCUACCUGGCCCAUUCUUGACGCUGAGGCGCGAAAGCUAGGGGAGCAAACGGG
RNAcentral lists this ribosomal RNA (253 nucleotides) under uncultured bacterium. RNAcentral describes it as "partial 16S ribosomal RNA". It matches the Rfam family "Bacterial small subunit ribosomal RNA", at positions 524 to 776 of the family's 1533-position model. The record is from RNAcentral.